Molecule: ribosomal RNA, 429 nt
Filed under: bacterium
Lineage: Bacteria
Description: partial 16S ribosomal RNA
Rfam family: Bacterial small subunit ribosomal RNA
Source: RNAcentral
UAGGGAAUCUUCCACAAUGGACGCAAGUCUGAUGGAGCAACGCCGCGUGAGUGAAGAAGGUUUUCGGAUCGUAAAGCUCUGUUGUUGGUGAAGAAGGAUAGAGGCAGUAACUGGUCUUUAUUUGACGGUAAUCAACCAGAAAGUCACGGCUAACUACGUGCCAGCAGCCGCGGUAAUACGUAGGUGGCAAGCGUUGUCCGGAUUUAUUGGGCAUAAAGCGAGCGCAGGCGGAAUGAUAAGUCUGAUGUGAAAGCCCACGGCUCAACCGUGGAACUGCAUCGGAAACUGUCAGUCUUGAGUGCAGAAGAGGAGAGUGGAAUUCCAUGUGUAGCGGUGGAAUGCGUAGAUAUAUGGAAGAACACCAGUGGCGAAGGCGGCUCUCUGGUCUGCAACUGACGCUGAGGCUCGAAAGCAUGGGUAGCGAACAGG